ACGAAGUCGUACGCUUCUUUUUCCACCGGAGCUUGCUCCACCGGAAAAAGAAGAGUGGCGAACGGGUGAGUAACACGUGGGUAACCUGCCCAUCAGAAGGGGAUAACACUUGGAAACAGGUGCUAAUACCGUAUAACAAUCGAAACCGCAUGGUUUUGAUUUGAAAGGCGCUUUCGGGUGUCGCUGAUGGAUGGACCCGCGGUGCAUUAGCUAGUUGGUGAGGUAACGGCUCACCAAGGCCACGAUGCAUAGCCGACCUGAGAGGGUGAUCGGCCACAUUGGGACUGAGACACGGCCCAAACUCCUACGGGAGGCAGCAGUAGGGAAUCUUCGGCAAUGGGCGAAAGUCUGACCGAGCAACGCCGCGUGAGUGAAGAAGGUUUUCGGAUCGUAAAACUCUGUUGUUAGAGAAGAACAAGGAUGAGAGUAACUGUUCAUCCCUUGACGGUAUCUAACCAGAAAGCCACGGCUAACUACGUGCCAGCAGCCGCGGUAAUACGUAGGUGGCAAGCGUUGUCCGGAUUUAUUGGGCGUAAAGCGAGCGCAGGCGGUUUCUUAAGUCUGAUGUGAAAGCCCCCGGCUCAACCGGGGAGGGUCAUUGGAAACUGGGAGACUUGAGUGCAGAAGAGGAGAGUGGAAUUCCAUGUGUAGCGGUGAAAUGCGUAGAUAUAUGGAGGAACACCAGUGGCGAAGGCGGCUCUCUGGUAUGUAACUGACGCUGAGGCUCGAAAGCGUGGGGAGCAAACAGGAUUAGAUACCCUGGUAGUCCACGCCGUAAACGAUGAGUGCUAAGUGUUGGAGGGUUUCCGCCCUUCAGUGCUGCAGCUAACGCAUUAAGCACUCCGCCUGGGGAGUACGACCGCAAGGUUGAAACUCAAAGGAAUUGACGGGGGCCCGCACAAGCGGUGGAGCAUGUGGUUUAAUUCGAAGCAACGCGAAGAACCUUACCAGGUCUUGACAUCCUUUGACCACUCUAGAGAUAGAGCUUCCCCUUCGGGGGCAAAGUGACAGGUGGUGCAUGGUUGUCGUCAGCUCGUGUCGUGAGAUGUUGGGUUAAGUCCCGCAACGAGCGCAACCCUUAUUGUUAGUUGCCAUCAUUUAGUUGGGCACUCUAGCAAGACUGCCGGUGACAAACCGGAGGAAGGUGGGGAUGACGUCAAAUCAUCAUGCCCCUUAUGACCUGGGCUACACACGUGCUACAAUGGGAAGUACAACGAGUCGCGAAGUCGCGAGGCUAAGCUAAUCUCUUAAAGCUUCUCUCAGUUCGGAUUGUAGGCUGCAACUCGCCUACAUGAAGCCGGAAUCGCUAGUAAUCGCGGAUCAGCACGCCGCGGUGAAUACGUUCCCGGGCCUUGUACACACCGCCCGUCACACCACGAGAGUUUGUAACACCCGAAGUCGGUGAGGUAACCUUUUGGAGCCCGAUC
This 1427-nucleotide ribosomal RNA is filed under the name Enterococcus durans. RNAcentral's name for it is "bacterial SSU rRNA". It matches the Rfam family "Bacterial small subunit ribosomal RNA". Lineage: Bacteria; Bacillati; Bacillota; Bacilli; Lactobacillales; Enterococcaceae. The record is from RNAcentral.